Molecule: unclassified non-coding RNA, 343 nt
Filed under: uncultured Exobasidiales
Lineage: Eukaryota; Fungi; Basidiomycota; Exobasidiomycetes; Exobasidiales
Description: sequence contains ITS1
Rfam family: 5.8S ribosomal RNA (bases 1-105)
Source: RNAcentral
GAAACGCGAUAGGUAUUGUGAAUUGCAGAAUUCAGUGAAUCAUCGAAUCUUUGAACGCAUCUUGCGCUCCUUGGUAUUCCUUGGAGCAUGCCUGUUUGAGUGUCACGAAAUUCUCGCCUCUUUUGGUUUCCAAAACGAGUUGCGGUCCUUGGGGGUUGUUUUUGCAGUGGAUUUUAUUUUAUUUUCAUUGCUCCCCUUAAAUGUAUGGAAUCGGGCCUGACCGAAUUUCUAAAGUAGUUACUAUACAACUUUGGAUCUUAUUCGUGUUGAGCCUAUCCCAGAUAUACAACAAAAUUUCUUUCUUUCUGGCCUCAAAUCAGGUAGGACUACCCGCUGAACUUAA